Molecule: long non-coding RNA, 3629 nt
Filed under: Panax ginseng (ginseng)
Lineage: Eukaryota; Viridiplantae; Streptophyta; Magnoliopsida; Apiales; Araliaceae
Description: long non-coding RNA (PGIN_LNC006822)
Source: RNAcentral
UCAUAUACUGUGAGUUUCAAUACAAAUAUUGUUACGUAUAUAAUACGACAAUAUUCAUAUUUAAAUUAUUACAAUUCCAUAUAAAGUACAGCAGCAAAUAUAUCAAGUCCCUGAAGGGACACGAGAAGAUUUAUAUUCUCCUCAUUCUAAUGGAGUGCAUCUUUGACACUUCCAAAUUCUGAUUCGAUUCACCCUAUUGUUGUUCACCAAAAUUAAAUAUCAAAUGAUGUAUAAAAUAUGUCACACACAUUUUAAGUUCUCAAUACAAUUAUUAUGCCACACCGUUUCAUAAUUUGAUUAGGAUUGUGACAAAUUUGUAUCACCACUUUAUACCCUUGUUCUCUCUGCUAGUCCCAGCUACACUUUUAUUACCUAAAAGGGGUGGAGAAGUAAAAGGAUGAGCACAAAUAGCCCAGUAAAGAAUAUCAUGAAUUAAGAUAAUUAAAUUAUCAAAGGAAUUAAAAUAUUUAGAACAUAUGGUAGAAGAUAAAAGUUUUCAACCAUAAUAGCAGCGGAAUCAACAAUCCAUUAGAAGACUCAAGUAGAACAUAAUGUCUACUAUCGCCUCUAGAUUAAAAGUACAUCGUUAAUAUUUCAUUCUUGUAAUACUCAUCAACAGUUCUUUGUUAUACCUAAGACAAAAAGAACUCUCAUCACCUGUCUUCACCUGAACCACCACAAAUUAUAAUUAAAUUCAUAAUUCAUAUUUAUAAUCAGGUAAAUCAACAGUCCAUGUUUGCAAUAUAAGCCUAAGACAUACAACUGUAAAAUCAAUAACGCUGAGACUCAGCUCAAUAGUAUCACAACCAUAAAUUAUCCAUACACUACGGGCCAAGGAUAUUCAUGUUUUCAAUUACGGUUAUGAUUAUACCGAAUAAUUUCUGGUCAUAAUCAUACCAAGUCCAUCUAUGCACUACGUGCCAAAGAUGACUUUUACCACAUCAUUUGUAACAUUAUGGUCAUGAUUAUACCAAAUAAUCCCUGAUCAUAAUCAUGUCAAGUCCAUCUAUGCACUACGGGUCAAAGAUGACUUUUAUCACAUCAUUUAUUACGGUCAUGAUUAUACCGAAUAAUCACUGGUCAUAAUCAUACCAAGUCCAUCUAUGCACUACGACCAAAAAUGACUUUUAUCAUAAUAUAAGCACGAGGAUUAUGACAAUGAUAUAUAUAUAUAUAUAUAUAUAUAUAUAUAAUGAAUAAAAAUAAAUGAUCAGAAUAAUAAGAUAACAUAGAUCUUAGUGAUUUUUAACUUAAUUAUCCAUAGUCCAAAUUGCUAACAUAAUAUUAGAUGAAGCACACAAACUAUUAAGGAUAUUCUAAUCCUUUCAAGACUUUUCACCAUUUAAUGAUAAACUGAAUGAAUGAAUAAUAAUAUCUUACCAUAAUAUGGAGUAUGAAAGAAAAUGAUAUUCAUUUUAUCAUAAAAAUGAUACACUCUUACAAAAAUAAUGAUACCCCUUAGCUUAUCAUGUGACUUGAUUCUGCUUUCUGUGAAAUUGAUCAACUUAAACAAUGCUUGCAUUCCUUAUCUACACUUGGAGUAACAUUACACUCAAUAGAAAUACUCACAAUAUUAUAGUACUCACAAUAUUGUAGUAAAAGAAUUAUAUAUUUGUAGUGUAAGGAUGGUGUGUCCUUAGUUACUCAACCGAGCAACCUAUUUAUACUAAAAAUUUAGUAAACAACUAGCACACCUCUUUGACAAAAUAACCAAAUGAGGUAUAUAAUAAUGGUAGUGGAAUUUAUGGUCCCACAGAGAAAAUCAACUUGUACACAUUUUAACAACAUUUGUUCAAUAAUAGAGUUGUGGUCCAUAUUACUUUAAGAAAAGUAGAGUGUCGGCAAGUCCUGCCAAACUUACUUUUGUAAAAAAAUAAAUUUGAACAAACAUCUGUAUGUCAUACUUAUCUUUAAUCAACAACUUUUAUUCAUCAAUUAUUUACACAUUUUCAAUCUUUCAAUAAUUAUUCACAAUUACUAAUAUAGACUCACAAUACUGCCAACUGAUUUAAUUAUAUCAUAUCAAAUUAAUAAUAUGAGUCACUAUGCAAUAACUACUGUGAUAAUUAUUGAAUGAAAGACUGAGUGACUUCUUACGUAAUUAAGAAUCAAUAAUAUGAAUCACUGUGCAAUAACUAUUGUGACAAUUAAUGAAUAAAAUCAAGAGUGAUUUCUUACGUAAGAAUCAAAUCAAUACCUUGCUAUAAUUUAAAUUCUAUUAAAAGUAGGGAUCAACACCAAAUCAUAUUUAUCUCGAAUAACAUAUAAACCAACUAAUAAUUCAUUAUUCUUUCAAGUUAUCUUUAUUUAUCGCAAACAAUCAUUAUUCAUAUUCCAAAACUUUAGAAGUGAAUAAUAAAACUUGAGAAAUAUAAAACCUCAUAUAUGACAAUCAAUUAUUCUGAUAUUAUCACCAUUUUUACUUUUACAAAUAUAUUAUUUUUUUGUUUUUAACGUAAAUCAUUCGUUACUAGUGAGUUUACAUUUCCACACCUCAUGAUCUUACUUACACUUCUAAACUAUUUAAAAAUAUGAUUCUGAACUUUACAAAUAAUUUUCAUAUUUCUAAAAUUAUUUCUAUAAUUAUUUCUAUUUAUAAAAACUAUCAUUUAAUAGCUUCGAAAUAGAAAUACUAACUUCACAUAAUUUUAUAUCAUUAAAAUAUCAUCAAUAUUAAUCUUAUAUUAUUAUAAUAUUUUUCAGCAAAGUUCAUAAUUUUUCACCAUUCAUAGAAUUUCCUAUGAAUUUUCUCUAUUUUUAAACUAACCAUAAAUAGCUUAAAAAUAUAAUAAAUAUUUCUGUUAUUCAAAAAAUUUUCAAAACUGUCCAGAAAUUAUAAAACAAUAUUAUACUAUUUUUACCAAGUUUCAUAAUUUUUCAUCAUUCAUAGAAUUUUCUAUGAAUUUCUUCUAUUUUCAAACUAACUAUAAAUAAUUUAAAAAUACAAUAAUUACUUCUGCUUUUUAAUAAUUCAUCAAAAUUUUACAGAAAUUCUAAGAUGGUAUUAUAAGCAUUCUGUAAAAAUAUUUCAGCCCAAAUAAUUUUUCUGAUAAAUUAAUUAUAAACUCCAAUAUUCAGAAAUUUCAUUAAUUCAUAAUAAUUAGCACUUUUAUUAGAAAAAUACAGGUCUUAUGUCCUUUCUAUGUAAAAUUUUAAUUCUCUACAACUUUGUAGAAGAAAUUUUUGCCAAAUUCUGACUCAAACAUAGAGAGAAAGGCUUACCAAAAUUUUUGCUACAAUAAUUUCAGGAUCAGUCACCUCCUUUUUAAUUUCCUCAAGCUUUUCCAUUACACCCACUUGAUUCUCUCACUAGCUUCUUGGAUGUUUUAAUGGAUGAAGAUGAAUAUGGUGAUCAUGGAAUGAUUAAGGAUGAAGAAGAUAUGAAAUUAUGGGUUUAAAGCUCUUCUAGCUUCCCUACCUCUCUAUUUUCUCUUUCUAUUAUUCCCUUUCUCCUUCUUUUUCCUUUCUUUUCUUCCUUUCUCUCUUUUCUUUUCCCCCCAAAUUGUUGCUACGGGAGGAUGGAAUGAAAAGAAGGCUGAUAAUUGCCUUAUUAGGCUAAUAAGUUAGCCAACAUCAUUGCCCCACACUUGCCUAAUAUUUAAAUAUUCCACCAAUCAUGAAAGACUUUG